RNAcentral lists this ribosomal RNA (355 nucleotides) under Oxyrrhis marina. RNAcentral describes it as "partial Bacterial small subunit ribosomal RNA". It matches the Rfam family "Bacterial small subunit ribosomal RNA", at positions 620 to 975 of the family's 1533-position model. Lineage: Eukaryota; Dinophyceae; Oxyrrhinales; Oxyrrhinaceae. The record is from RNAcentral.
AUUGCCUUUGAUACUGCCAGUCUUGAGUUCGGGAGAGGUGAGCGGAAUUCCGAGUGUAGAGGUGAAAUUCGUAGAUAUUCGGAGGAACACCAGAGGCGAAGGCGGCUCACUGGACCGAUACUGACGCUGAGGAGCGAAAGCGUGGGGAGCAAACAGGAUUAGAUACCCUGGUAGUCCACGCCGUAAACGAUGAGAGCUAGUUGUCUGGCAGCAUGCUGUUAGGUGACGCAGCUAACGCAUUAAGCUCUCCGCCUGGGGAGUACGGCCGCAAGGUUAAAACUCAAAGAAAUUGACGGGGGCCCGCACAAGCGGUGGAGCAUGUGGUUUAAUUCGAUGCAACGCGAAGAACCUUACC